AUACAUUCUCAUAUCAAAGAGUCCCUCAAUCAGUUAAGAAUACUACUGUGGCUUUUAGCAACUACACUCAAAACACUGUUAUUCUCCAUUUCAAUAUACCAAUUAUAGUUGAGUGUACUGGUGAAGCUCCUGAGAACGCUACUGUUACUAUACAGUGUAAUGGAACUGUUAUAUUUCAUAACAUAUAUCUUAUAGUGAAUUAUCAAAAUAAUGUAACAGGAUUAGUACCAAUGCCACAUUAUAAAUCUAGCUGCUCAGUUAUAAUUGUAUUUAGUAAUGCUAUUGGUAGAAGUGAACCAUUUUUAUUAACAUUUGAAACUACUACUAAUGUUACUAUCAGUGAUACACAAUCAUCUUCAAAAGUAUCUAUGCCAGUUCUUGCUGGAGCUAUUAUUGGUGGCAUUUUUGCUAUUCUAGUACUAAUAAUUUUUACAUGUAUUUUGGUAUUCUUAUGUUAUUGUAUAAAGAAAAGAAAAU
This 477-nucleotide long non-coding RNA is filed under the name Amphimedon queenslandica. RNAcentral describes it as "uncharacterized LOC109588539". Lineage: Eukaryota; Metazoa; Porifera; Demospongiae; Haplosclerida; Niphatidae. The record is from RNAcentral.